RNAcentral lists this ribosomal RNA (255 nucleotides) under uncultured bacterium. RNAcentral's name for it is "partial 16S ribosomal RNA". It matches the Rfam family "Bacterial small subunit ribosomal RNA", at positions 524 to 777 of the family's 1533-position model. The record is from RNAcentral.
UACGGAGGGUGCAAGCGUUAUCCGGAUUCACUGGGUUUAAAGGGUGCGUAGGUGGGCAGGUAAGUCAGUGGUGAAAUCUCCGGGCUUAGCCCGGAACUGCCGUUGAUACUAUCUGUCUUGAAUAUAGUGGAGGUGAGCGGAAUAUGUCAUGUAGCGGUGAAAUGCUUAGAUAUGACAUAGAACAUCGAUUGCGAAGGCAGCUCGCUACACUAUGAUUGACACUGGAGGCACGAAAGCGUGGGGGAUCAAACAGGG